AGAGUUUGAUCAUGGCUCAGGAUGAACGUUGGCGGCGUGCCUAAUACAUGCAAGUCGAACGCGGGCACUUGUGCCCGAGUGGCGAACGGGUGAGUAAUACAUAAGUAACCUGGCCUUUACAGGGGGAUAACUGCUGGAAACGGCAGCUAAGACCGCAUAGGUAGGGACACUGCAUGGUGACCGUAUUAAAAGUGCUGCAAGGCACUGGUAGAGGAUGGACUUAUGGCGCAUUAGCUGGUUGGUGAGGUAACGGCUCACCAAGGCGACGAUGCGUAGCCGACCUGAGAGGGUGACCGGCCACACUGGGACUGAGACACGGCCCAGACUCCUACGGGAGGCAGCAGUAGGGAAUUUUCGGCAAUGGGGGGAACCCUGACCGAGCAACGCCGCGUGAAGGAAGAAGGAAUUCGUUCUGUAAACUUCUGUUAUAAAGGAAGAAAGACGGAUGGAGGAAAUGACAUCCGAGUGACGGUACUUUAUGAGAAAGCCACGGCUAACUACGUGCCAGCAGCCGCGGUAAUACGUAGGUGGCAAGCGUUAUCCGGAAUUAUUGGGCGUAAAGAGGGAGCAGGCGGCAGCAAAGGUCUGUGGUGAAAGACUGAAGCUUAACUUCAGUAAGCCAUAGAAACCGGGCAGCUAGAGUGCAGGAGAGGAUCGUGGAAUUCCAUGUGUAGCGGUGAAAUGCGUAGAUAUAUGGAGGAACACCAGUGGCGAAGGCGACGAUCUGGCCUGCAACUGACGCUCAGUCCCGGAAGCGUGGGGAGCAAAUAGGAUUAGAUACCCUAGUAGUCCACGCCGUAAACGAUGAGUACUAAGUGUUGGAAGUCAAAUUUCAGUGCUGCAGUUAACGCAGUAAGUACUCCGCCUGAGUAGUACGUUCGCAAGAAUGAAACUCAAAGGAAUUGACGGGGGCCCGCACAAGCGGUGGAGCAUGUGGUUUAAUUCGAAGCAACGCGAAGAACCUUACCAGGUCUUGACAUACUCAUAAAGGAUCCAGAGAUGGAUAGAUAGUUAUAUGAGAUACAGGUGGUGCAUGGUUGUCGUCAGCUCGUGUCGUGAGAUGUUGGGUUAAGUCCCGCAACGAGCGCAACCCUUGUCGUUAGUUACCAUCAUUAAGUUGGGGACUCUAGCGAGACUGCCAGUGACAAGCUGGAGGAAGGCGGGGAUGACGUCAAAUCAUCAUGCCCCUUAUGACCUGGGCUACACACGUGCUACAAUGGAUGGUGCAGAGGGAAGCGAAGCCGCGAGGCGAAGCAAAACCCAUAAAACCAUUCUCAGUUCGGAUUGUAGUCUGUAACUCGACCACAUGAAGUUGGAAUCGCUAGUAAUCGCGAAUCAGCAUGUCGCGGUGAAUACGUUCUCGGGCCUUGCACACACCGCCCGUC
This 1385-nucleotide ribosomal RNA is filed under the name uncultured Erysipelotrichales bacterium. RNAcentral's name for it is "bacterial SSU rRNA". It matches the Rfam family "Bacterial small subunit ribosomal RNA". Lineage: Bacteria; Bacillati; Bacillota; Erysipelotrichia; Erysipelotrichales. The record is from RNAcentral.